AACGGUCUAUACCUGCGGUACCUGCGGAGGGAUCAUUAUUGAAUGUUGCCUUGAUAGGUUGUCGCUGGUUCCUUGUAAUGGGGGGCAUGUGCACGCCUGUCUUGACUUCAAUUCAUCCACCUGUGCACCUUUUGUAGUCUUUUUCUGAGGGGGGGCUGGGGAAAUGGCAGCUCAGACUGUCACUGAACCUUUUCCACUUGGAGUGGGGCUAUGUUUUUUUACAUAUACUGUUAGAAUGUU
This 240-nucleotide unclassified non-coding RNA is filed under the name soil metagenome. RNAcentral's name for it is "partial contains 5.8S ribosomal RNA, internal transcribed spacer 2, and large subunit ribosomal RNA". The record is from RNAcentral.